Molecule: transfer RNA, 67 nt
Filed under: bovine gut metagenome
Rfam family: tRNA
About the family: Transfer RNA (tRNA) molecules are approximately 80 nucleotides in length. Their secondary structure includes four short double-helical elements and three loops (D, anti-codon, and T loops).
Source: RNAcentral
GCCUUAGCUCAAUUGGCAGAGCAAUCGCCUUGUAAGCGAUAGGUUGCUGGUUCGAUUCCGGCAGGCG